This 481-nucleotide ribosomal RNA is filed under the name uncultured bacterium. RNAcentral describes it as "partial 16S ribosomal RNA". It matches the Rfam family "Bacterial small subunit ribosomal RNA", at positions 28 to 523 of the family's 1533-position model. The record is from RNAcentral.
GACGAACGCUGGCGGCGUGCUUAACACAUGCAAGUCGAGCGGAAAGGCCACUUCGGUGGUACUCGAGCGGCGAACGGGUGAGUAACACGUGAGUAAUCUGCCCCUGGCUUUGGGAUAGCCACCGGAAACGGUGAUUAAUACCGGAUACGACCACUUCUCGCAUGGGAUGGUGGUGGAAAGUUUUUUCGGCCAGGGAUGUGCUCGCGGCCUAUCAGCUUGAUGGUGAGGUAAUGGCUCACCAUGGCUUCGACGGGUAGCCGGCCUGAGAGGGUGGCCGGUCACACUGGGACUGAGACACGGGCCAGACUCCUACUGGAGGCAGCAGUGGGGAAUGUUGGACAAUGGGCGGAAGCCUGAUCCAGCAACGCCGCGUGAGGGAUGACGGCCUUCGGGUUGUAAACCUCUUUCAGCAGGGACGAAGCGCAAGUGACGGUACCUGCAGAAGAAGCACCGGCUAACUACGUGCCAGCCGCCGCGGUAA